This 288-nucleotide long non-coding RNA is filed under the name Ictidomys tridecemlineatus (thirteen-lined ground squirrel). RNAcentral's name for it is "lncRNA (ENSSTOG00000031561.1)". Lineage: Eukaryota; Metazoa; Chordata; Mammalia; Rodentia; Sciuridae. The record is from RNAcentral.
UCAUGCUUGUAUUUUUUUUUUUCUCAGAAGGUGCAUUUUGUCCUUUUUGGAUACUGGAAUGCACCAUCAGACAUGGAGGACCUAAAGCCAAGUUUCAAAUGACUGAAGACUGAUCCAGAGAUGUCAGCCCUGAUGUCCCAGAAAGAGGAGGGAGCUUCAAAGGAAGAGGGGGAAAGAGAUGGCCCAGAGAGACCCAGUGGUGAAGCCACCCCCGUGGGAGCAGUUGGGGAAUCUGGACUGUCAAUGACUCACCUACCAUGAGAUGACCAAAAUUAUCCUAAUUUAAAA